UGCCAGACUCCUACGGGAGGCAGCAGUGGGGAAUAUUGCACAAUGGGGGAAACCCUGAUGCAGCAACGCCGCGUGAGUGAAGAAGUAUUUCGGUAUGUAAAGCUCUAUCAGCAGGGAAGAGAAUGACGGUACCUGACUAAGAAGCCCCGGCUAACUACGUGCCAGCAGCCGCGGUAAUACGUAGGGGGCAAGCGUUAUCCGGAUUUACUGGGUGUAAAGGGAGCGUAGACGGCGAUACAAGUCUGAAGUGAAAGCCCGGGGCUCAACCCCGGGACUGCUUUGGAAACUGUGUUGCUGGAGUGCUGGAGAGGCAAGCGGAAUUCCUAGUGUAGCGGUGAAAUGCGUAGAUAUUAGGAAGAACACCAGUGGCGAAGGCGGCUUGCUGGACAGUAACUGACGUUGAGGCUCGAAAGCGUGGGGAGCAAACAGGAUUAGAUACCCUCGUA
Molecule: ribosomal RNA, 446 nt
Filed under: uncultured bacterium
Lineage: Bacteria
Description: bacterial SSU rRNA
Rfam family: Bacterial small subunit ribosomal RNA
Source: RNAcentral